Molecule: ribosomal RNA, 1504 nt
Filed under: Salmonella enterica subsp. enterica serovar Corvallis
Lineage: Bacteria; Pseudomonadati; Pseudomonadota; Gammaproteobacteria; Enterobacterales; Enterobacteriaceae
Description: bacterial SSU rRNA
Rfam family: Bacterial small subunit ribosomal RNA
Source: RNAcentral
UUUUUUUCUUGGCUCAGAUUGAACGCUGGCGGCAGGCCUAACACAUGCAAGUCGAACGGUAACAGGAAGCAGCUUGCUGCUUUGCUGACGAGUGGCGGACGGGUGAGUAAUGUCUGGGAAACUGCCUGAUGGAGGGGGAUAACUACUGGAAACGGUGGCUAAUACCGCAUAACGUCGCAAGACCAAAGAGGGGGACCUUCGGGCCUCUUGCCAUCAGAUGUGCCCAGAUGGGAUUAGCUUGUUGGUGAGGUAACGGCUCACCAAGGCGACGAUCCCUAGCUGGUCUGAGAGGAUGACCAGCCACACUGGAACUGAGACACGGUCCAGACUCCUACGGGAGGCAGCAGUGGGGAAUAUUGCACAAUGGGCGCAAGCCUGAUGCAGCCAUGCCGCGUGUAUGAAGAAGGCCUUCGGGUUGUAAAGUACUUUCAGCGGGGAGGAAGGUGUUGUGGUUAAUAACCACAGCAAUUGACGUUACCCGCAGAAGAAGCACCGGCUAACUCCGUGCCAGCAGCCGCGGUAAUACGGAGGGUGCAAGCGUUAAUCGGAAUUACUGGGCGUAAAGCGCACGCAGGCGGUCUGUCAAGUCGGAUGUGAAAUCCCCGGGCUCAACCUGGGAACUGCAUUCGAAACUGGCAGGCUUGAGUCUUGUAGAGGGGGGUAGAAUUCCAGGUGUAGCGGUGAAAUGCGUAGAGAUCUGGAGGAAUACCGGUGGCGAAGGCGGCCCCCUGGACAAAGACUGACGCUCAGGUGCGAAAGCGUGGGGAGCAAACAGGAUUAGAUACCCUGGUAGUCCACGCCGUAAACGAUGUCUACUUGGAGGUUGUGCCCUUGAGGCGUGGCUUCCGGAGCUAACGCGUUAAGUAGACCGCCUGGGGAGUACGGCCGCAAGGUUAAAACUCAAAUGAAUUGACGGGGGCCCGCACAAGCGGUGGAGCAUGUGGUUUAAUUCGAUGCAACGCGAAGAACCUUACCUGGUCUUGACAUCCACAGAACUUUCCAGAGAUGGACUGGUGCCUUCGGGAACUGUGAGACAGGUGCUGCAUGGCUGUCGUCAGCUCGUGUUGUGAAAUGUUGGGUUAAGUCCCGCAACGAGCGCAACCCUUAUCCUUUGUUGCCAGCGGUCAGGUCGGGAACUCAAAGGAGACUGCCAGUGAUAAACUGGAGGAAGGUGGGGGGAUGACGUCAAGUCAUCAUGGCCCUUACGACCAGGGCUACACACGUGCUACAAUGGCGCAUACAAAGAGAAGCGACCCUCGCGAGAGCAAGCGGACCUCAUAAAGUGCGUCGUAGUCCGGAUUGGAGUCUGCAACUCGACUCCAUGAAGUCGGAAUCGCUAGUAAUCGUGGAUCAGAAUGCCACGGUGAAUACGUUCCCGGGCCUUGUACACACCGCCCGUCACACCAUGGGAGUGGGUUGCAAAAGAAGUAGGUAGCUUAACCUUCGGGAGGGCGCUUACCACUUUGUGAUUCAUGACUGGGGUGAAGUCGUAACAGGGUUAGCC